GGAACUGGGGGUUGUGGAGAAGUUGACCAAAAGGACAGCAGCAGGGAGUACCAGGAAACUGCAAGACUGAACAGUGCUUUAUCUAGGGGAGAGAAAUAGCUGAUUUGAAUGUGGUCUCCAAUCCCAGCUUAUUGAUGAAUCUACUUACUGAUUUCCAUAAUGGUUAUACCAGCCUGCACACCAUAUUGUACUGCUAGUGUGACAACCUGAAAGAAAGGAAGAGGGCUCUGGAAUGGGGAACUUGUGACCUACACUGGAGGAAGACCAGAAAAUUCUUUCUUGAGCUGCUUCAGGAGAGAACAGUAGAAGACUACCAAGAUCUUUUUUCUGCUAUUCCCUCCAGUGCGUUGAGCUUUAAUGCUCAGUAUGUAUAGGAGCUAUUUCUUCUCCUCUA
This is a long non-coding RNA of Octodon degus (degu), 394 nucleotides long. RefSeq lists it as uncharacterized. The transcript is spliced from 3 exons. The record is from RefSeq and is a predicted model, not a curated record. Lineage: Eukaryota; Metazoa; Chordata; Mammalia; Rodentia; Octodontidae.